ACACUGACGUCGCGACGCAUAUCAAUAAGCGGAGGAAAAGAAACUAACAAGGAUUCCCUUAGUAACGGCGAGUGAAGCGGGAAGAGCUCAAAUUUGAAAUCUUCAAGGUUCUACCUUGACGAAUUGUAGUUUAAAGAAGUGUUUUCUGUUAGUGGAGUGGCAAAAGUUCUUUGGAAUAGGACAUCAUAGAGGGUGAGAAUCCCGUAUUUGACCAUUAUUUUCAGCUGUGUGAUACACUUUCAAAGAGUCGGAUUGUUUGGGAAUGCAGUCCAAAAUGGGUGGUAAAUUUCAUCUAAAGCUAAAUAUUGGCGAGAGACCGAUAGCGAACAAGUACCGUGAGGGAAAGAUGAAAAGAACUUUGAAAAGAGAGUUAAACAGUACGUGAAAUUGUCAAAAGGGAAGCGUUUGACACCAGUGUUGUUUUUCCGAGAAUCAAUUAUAAAUGUUUUGUUUCUGAGGAGUGAUGACUUCAUCGGCUUCCUUCUCUCUUCACGAAACUUUUGUAAUGCACUUUUCGGUUAACAAGUCAACAUCAAUUUCUUUUGUUGUAAAAGAGUAUUCGGAAGAGUAGGCUUUCUUUUCGGAGAAAGUGUUUAUAGCCCUAUACUUCUACAAUCGGAGAGAUUGAGGUCUGCAGCGUAGAUCCUUCGGGGUUAGAUACACUUGUGCUAAGUUAUAGCUUUUCAUAGACAACUUGUUGACUAUGUUUAGUCUUGUAGCUUACUCGCUUGUGCUAUUUUACCUACGCUUAGGAUGUUGAGUCGUAGAGCACGCAG
Molecule: ribosomal RNA, 776 nt
Filed under: uncultured Neocallimastigales
Lineage: Eukaryota; Fungi; Neocallimastigomycota; Neocallimastigomycetes; Neocallimastigales
Description: partial large subunit ribosomal RNA
Rfam family: Eukaryotic large subunit ribosomal RNA
Source: RNAcentral